GCAGUGGUGGUUUAGUGGUAGAAUUCUCCCCUUUCAAACUGGAGAGCCAGGUUCGAUUCCCGGCCAGUGCA
Molecule: transfer RNA, 71 nt
Filed under: Loxodonta africana (African savanna elephant)
Lineage: Eukaryota; Metazoa; Chordata; Mammalia; Proboscidea; Elephantidae
Rfam family: tRNA
About the family: Transfer RNA (tRNA) molecules are approximately 80 nucleotides in length. Their secondary structure includes four short double-helical elements and three loops (D, anti-codon, and T loops).
Source: Rfam by way of RNAcentral